AUACGGAGGGUGCGAGCGUUAAUCGGAAUUACUGGGCGUAAACGCGCACGCAGGCGGUCUGUUAAGCUAGAUGUGAAAGCCCCGCGCUCAACGUGGGAGGGUCAUUUAGAACUGGCAGACUAGAGUCUUGGAGAGGGGAGUCGGAAUUCCAGGUGUAGUCGGUGAAAUGCGUAGACGAUCUGGAGGAACAUCAAUGGCGAAGGCAAACUCCCUGGCCAAAGACUGACGCUCAUGUGCGAAAGUGUGGGUAGCGAACAGGAUUAGAUACCCUGGUAGUCCACACCGUAAACGCUGUCUACUAGCUGUUUGUGGAUUUAAUCCGUGAGUAGCGAAGCUAACGCGAUAAGUAGACCGCCUGGGGAGUACGGCCGCAAGGUUAAAAACUCAAAAUGAAUUGACGGGGGGCCCGCACAAGCGGUGGAGCAUGUGGUUUAAAUUCGAUGCAACGCGAAGAACCUUACCUACUCUUGACAUACUAGAAACUUUUCAGAGAUGAAUUGGUAACCUUCGGG
This 512-nucleotide ribosomal RNA is filed under the name uncultured Glaciecola sp. Its description in RNAcentral is "bacterial SSU rRNA". It matches the Rfam family "Bacterial small subunit ribosomal RNA", at positions 523 to 1024 of the family's 1533-position model. The record is from RNAcentral. Lineage: Bacteria; Pseudomonadati; Pseudomonadota; Gammaproteobacteria; Alteromonadales; Alteromonadaceae.